CAGGAGGAACACCGAUGGCGAAGGCAGUUCUUUGGGCCAAUACUGACACUGAGGAGCGAAAGCGUGGGGAGCGAACAGGAUUAGAUACCCUGGUAGUCCACGCCGUAAACGGUGGGCGCUAGUUGUGCGAACCUUCCACGGUUUGUGCGACGCAGCUAACGCAUUAAGCGCCCCGCCUGGGGAGUACGAUCGCAAGAUUAAAACUCAAAGGAAUUGACGGGGCCCCGCACAAGCAGCGGAGCAUGCGGCUUAAUUCGACGCAACGCGAAGAACCUUACCAAGGCUUGACAUAUACAGGAAUACGGCAGAGAUGUCGUAGCCGCAAGGUCUGUAUACAGGUGGUGCAUGGUUGUCGUCAGCUCGUGUCGUGAGAUGUUGGGUUAAGUCCCGCAACGAGCGCAACCCUCGUUCUGUGUUGCCAGCAUUUAGUUGGGGACUCACAGGAGACUGCCGGGGUUAACUCGGAGGAAGGUGGGGAUGACGUCAAAUCAUCAUGCCCCUUAUGUCUUGGGCUGCACGCAUGCUACAAUGGCUGGUACAAACGGCUGCAAUACCGCAAGGUGGAGCGAAUCCGAGAAAGCCAGUCUCAGUUCGGAUUGGGGUCUGCAACUCGACCCCAUGAAGUCGGAGUUGCUAGUAAUCGUAGAUCAGCAACGCUACGGUGAAUACGUUCCCGGGGCUUGUACACACCGCCCGUCACAUCACGAAAGUCGGUAACACCCAAAGUCAGUGGCCCAACCG
This 741-nucleotide ribosomal RNA is filed under the name uncultured Actinomycetes bacterium. RNAcentral describes it as "bacterial SSU rRNA". It matches the Rfam family "Bacterial small subunit ribosomal RNA", at positions 698 to 1441 of the family's 1533-position model. Lineage: Bacteria; Bacillati; Actinomycetota; Actinomycetes. The record is from RNAcentral.